Molecule: ribosomal RNA, 253 nt
Filed under: uncultured bacterium
Lineage: Bacteria
Description: partial 16S ribosomal RNA
Rfam family: Bacterial small subunit ribosomal RNA
Source: RNAcentral
UACGUAGGGUGCGAGCGUUGUCCGGAAUUAUUGGGCGUAAAGAGCUUGUAGGCGGUCUGUCGCGUCUGCUGUGAAAAUCCGGGGCUCGACCCCGGACUUGCAGUGGGUACGGGCAGACUAGAGUGUGGUAGGGGAGACUGGAAUUCCUGGUGUAGCGGUGAAAUGCGCAGAUAUCAGGAGGAACACCGAUGGCGAAGGCAGGUCUCUGGGCCACUACUGACGCUGAGAAGCGAAAGCAUGGGGAGCGAACAGG